UACAGGGGGUGCGAGCGUUGUCCGGAAUCACUGGGCGUAAAGGGCGCGUAGGUGGCGGCCCAAGUCCAUGGUGAAAGCUCGAUGCUCAACAUCGAGUCGGCCACGGAUACUGGGUUGCUCGAGCACUGUAGGGGCAGAUGGAAUUCCGGGUGUAGCGGUGGAAUGCGUAGAGAUCCGGAAGAACACCGGUGGCGAAGGCGGUCUGCUGGGCAGUUGCUGACACUGAGGCGCGACAGCGUGGGGAGCAAACAGG
Molecule: ribosomal RNA, 253 nt
Filed under: uncultured bacterium
Lineage: Bacteria
Description: partial 16S ribosomal RNA
Rfam family: Bacterial small subunit ribosomal RNA
Source: RNAcentral